Non-coding RNA from Lysinibacillus sp. BF-4, 97 nucleotides. NCBI's taxonomy places the organism in Bacteria, Bacillati, Bacillota, Bacilli, Caryophanales, Bacillaceae. The record is from Rfam.
AUAAUUUUGCGGGGGAACUUUUCGGUUGAGAAGGCGUAUGCCUGACCCUUUGAACCUGUUAGUUAAUACUAGCGUAGGGAGCAAAUUAGUAUGCCGU